RNAcentral lists this ribosomal RNA (406 nucleotides) under uncultured bacterium. RNAcentral describes it as "partial 16S ribosomal RNA". It matches the Rfam family "Bacterial small subunit ribosomal RNA", at positions 30 to 526 of the family's 1533-position model. The record is from RNAcentral.
AUUGAACGCUGGCGGCAGGCUUAACACAUGCAAGUCGAGCGAGCGGCGGACGGGUGAGUAAUGUGUGGGAAACUGCCAGAUGGAGGGGGAAAUCUACGGGAAACGGUAGCUAAUACCGCAUACCAUCAGAUGUGCCCAGAUGGGAUUAGCUAGUAGGUGGGGUAAGGGCUCACCUAGGCGACGAUCCCUAGCUGGUCUGAGAGGAUGACCAGCCACACUGGAAGUGAGACACGGUCCAGACUCCUACGGUAGGCAGCCGUGGGGAAUAUUGCACAAUGGGCGCAAGCCUGAUGCAGCCAUGCCGCGUGUAUGAAGAAGGCCUUCGGGUUGUAAAGUACUUUCAGCGGGGAGGCGUUACCCGCAGAAGAAGCACCGGCUAACUCCGUGCCAGCAGCCGCGGUAAUUC